Molecule: long non-coding RNA, 584 nt
Filed under: Monodelphis domestica (gray short-tailed opossum)
Lineage: Eukaryota; Metazoa; Chordata; Mammalia; Didelphimorphia; Didelphidae
Description: lncRNA (ENSMODG00000038843.1)
Source: RNAcentral
AUGCCAGACUCGGCUUUUCCUUCUCACAUUUCACUUCUUGCUCCUAGUAACAAGGUGAACCUCGACUCCUGCGGUAUGCCGGCCAAAGGCCCCUUGGACUUCUCCCUCGCCUUAGCCUCCUCUGCCUCUGCCUCGAGCCCCAGCCAUUCUCUGCCACCUCACACAUUCCAUUGCCCAUUCCUGGAUUCUGCAGUAAAGGCUGGGGCCACUGGUGGUGCUCUCUCUCUGUCUCCCUCUCCUCUUCUCUCUCCUCUCUCCCUCUAUCCUCUCUCUACUCCUCUCUCCCCUCUUCUUUCUCUCUUCCUCUUUCUCCCUCUUUCUCUCUCUCUGUCUCCCUCUCUUCUUCUCUCUCCACUCCUCUCUCCCCUCUUCUUUCUCUCUGUCUCCUUUCUCUUCUCUGUCUCCUCUCUCCUCUCUCCCUCUCUUGCUCCUCUUCUCUCUCCCCUCUUCUCUAUCUCUUUCUCCACCCUCAGAGGAGCACACAGAUGGGUCCAUGCCAUGGAGCCAUCAUCAUCUGUCUCUUCCUCAUGUUCCCUCUAAUCUCUAACCCUUUACCCACUUUCCUUUUAGGGGCUCCCGCAUGA